GCAUAUCAAUAAGCGGAGGCACAAGAAACCAACCGGGAUUGCCCUAGUAACGGCGAGUGAAGCGGCAACAGCUCAAAUUUGAAAUCUGGCUCUUUUAGAGUCCGAGUUGUAAUUUGCAGAGGGCGCUUUGGCUUUGGCAGCGGUCCAAGUUCCUUGGAACAGGACGUCACAGAGGGUGAGAAUCCCGUACGUGGUCGCUGGCUAUUGCCGUGUAAAGCCCCUUCGACGAGUCGAGUUGUUUGGGAAUGCAGCUCUAAAUGGGAGGUACAUUUCUUCUAAAGCUAAAUAUUGGCCAGAGACCGAUAGCGCACAAGUAGAGUGAUCGAAAGAUGAAAAGCACUUUGGAAAGAGAGUCAAACAGCACGUGAAAUUGUUGAAAGGGAAGCGCUUGCAGCCAGACUUGCUUGCAGUUGCUCAUCCGGGCUUUUGCCCGGUGCACUCUUCUGCAGGCAGGCCAGCAUCAGUUUGGGCGGUAAGAUAAAGGUCUCUGUCACGUACCUCUCUUCGGGGAGGCCUUAUAGGGGAGACGACAUAUUACCAGCCUGGACUGAGGUCCGCGCAUCUGCUAGGAUGCUGGCGUAAUGGCUGUAAGCGGCCCGUCUUGAAACACGGACCAAGGAGUCUAACAUCUAUGCGAGUGUUUGGGUGUCAAGCCCGAGCGCGUAAUGAAAGUGAACGGAGGUAGGAACCCGCAAGGGUGCACUAUCGACCGAUCCUGAUGUCUUCGGAAGGAUUUGAGUAAGAGCAUGGCUGUUGGGACCCGAAAGAUGGUGAACUAUGCUUGAAUAGGGUGAAGCCAGAGGAAACUCUGGUGGAGGCUCGCAGCGGUUCUGACGUGCAAAUCGAUCGUCAAAUUUGGGGCAUAGGGGGCGAAAGACUAAUCGAACUAUCUAGUAGCUGGGUUCCUGCCGA
Molecule: ribosomal RNA, 912 nt
Filed under: Alternaria infectoria
Lineage: Eukaryota; Fungi; Ascomycota; Dothideomycetes; Pleosporales; Pleosporaceae
Description: LSU rRNA
Rfam family: Eukaryotic large subunit ribosomal RNA
Source: RNAcentral